RNAcentral lists this ribosomal RNA (451 nucleotides) under uncultured bacterium. Its description in RNAcentral is "partial 16S ribosomal RNA". It matches the Rfam family "Bacterial small subunit ribosomal RNA", at positions 29 to 523 of the family's 1533-position model. The record is from RNAcentral.
AACGAACGCUGGCGGCAGGCUUAACACAUGCAAGUCGAACGGGCGUAGCAAUACGUCAGUGGCAGACGGGUGAGUAACACGUGGGAAUAUCCCUUUCAGUUCGGAAUAACUCAGGGAAACUUGAGCUAAUACAGGAUACGUCCUUCGGGAGAAAGAUUUAUCGCUGAGAGAUUAGCCCGCGUCUGAUUAGCUAGUUGGUGAGGUAAGGGCUCACCAAGGCGACGAUCAGUAGCUGGUCUGAGAGGGUGAUCAGCCACACUGGGACUGAGACACGGCCCAGACUCCUACGUGAGGCAGCAGUGGGGAAUAUUGGACAAUGGGGGAAACCCUGAUCCAGCCAUGCCGCGUGAGUGAUGAAGGCCUUAGGGUUGUAAAGCUCUUUUGCCAGGGAAGAUAAUGACUGUACCUGGAGAAUAAGCCCCGGCUAACUUCGUGCCAGCAGCCGCGGUAA